Cydia amplana is the source of this 451-nucleotide long non-coding RNA. RefSeq lists it as uncharacterized. The record is from RefSeq and is a predicted model, not a curated record. The transcript is spliced from 3 exons. Lineage: Eukaryota; Metazoa; Arthropoda; Insecta; Lepidoptera; Tortricidae.
ACAGUGUCCCGAGUUUAACACUACAUCUACUCUAGUUAGUAAGGUCACCCAUUGAUAGUGACAGGAACCAUGUUGUCUCCCCUCUUAGCUUUGAGUUGUAGCAGACCACGGAGUUAAUUUGAUUUGUUCAUUAGUUGAACAGUGUACAGAGUUUAACACUACCUCUACUCGUGUUAGUAAGGUCACCCAUUGAUAGUGACAGGAACCAUGUUGUCUCCCCUCUCAGCUUUGAGUUGUCGUAGACCACGGAGUUAAUUUGAUUUCUUCAUUAGUUGAACAGUGUACAGAGUUUAACACUACCUCUACUCGUGUUAGUAAGGUCACCCGUUGAUAGUGACAGGAACUGUGUUGUCUCCCCUCUUAGCUUCUAGUACUUUGUAGUAUACCACGGCGUCGUGGACGGUGGGGAAGGUGUCGAUACGGAGCUGGUUGGUGGUCUCUAACUCGUUGU